AUACGUAGGUGGCAAGCGUUAUCCGGAAUUAUUGGGCGUAAAGAGGGAGCAGGCGGCAGCAAGGGUCUGUGGUGAAAGCCUGAAGCUUAACUUCAGUAAGCCAUAGAAACCAGGCAGCUAGAGUGCAGGAGAGGAUCGUGGAAUUCCAUGUGUAGCGGUGAAAUGCGGAGAUAUAUGGAGGAACACCAGUGGCGAAGGCGCCGAGCUGGCCAGCAACGCACGCGCACGCACGAAAGCGUAGGGAACAAAAAGAGUUAGACACCCUGUUAGUGCACGCCGUAAACGGUGAGUACUAAGUGUUGGAUGUCAAAGUUCAGUGCUGCAGUUAACGCAAUAAGUACUCCGCCUGAGUAGUACGGUCGCAAGAAUGAAACUCAAAUGAAUUGACGGGG
This 392-nucleotide ribosomal RNA is filed under the name uncultured bacterium. RNAcentral describes it as "partial 16S ribosomal RNA". It matches the Rfam family "Bacterial small subunit ribosomal RNA", at positions 523 to 918 of the family's 1533-position model. The record is from RNAcentral.